Molecule: ribosomal RNA, 253 nt
Filed under: uncultured bacterium
Lineage: Bacteria
Description: partial 16S ribosomal RNA
Rfam family: Bacterial small subunit ribosomal RNA
Source: RNAcentral
GACGUAGGGGGCAAGCGUUGUCCGGAAUUAUUGGGCGUAAAGCGCUCGUAGGCGGAUCGGUAAGUCUGUGAAGAAAGACCCGGGCUCAACUCGGGGAACGGCAUAGAUACUGCUGAUCUUGAGACAGUCAGAGGAUGAUGGAAUUCCAGGUGUAGCGGUGAAAUGCGUAGAUAUCUGGAAGAACACCCGUGGCGAAGGCGGCUCUCUGGAACGCAACUGACGCUGAGACGCGAAAGCGUGGGGAGCAAACAGG